CGCAAGUGCGAUAAGGGGACCCCAAGUGCGAGGGCAUAUAGUCCUCGCUUUUUCCGACCGUAAGGUGGUCGGCGAAUAAGGGCUGGGCAAGACCGGUGCCAGCCGCCGCGGUAAUACCGGCAGCCCAAGUGAUGACCGAUAUUAUUGGGCCUAAAGCGUCCGUAGCCGGCCACGAAGGUYCAUCGGGAAAUCCGCCAGCUUAACUGGCGGGCGUCCGGUGRAAACCACGUGGCUUGGGACCGGAAGGCUCGAGGGGUACGUCCGGGGUAGGAGUGAAAUCCCGUAAUCCUGGACGGACCACCGAUGGCGAAAGCACCUCGAGAAGACGGAUCCGACGGUGAGGGACGAAAGCUAGGGUCUCGAACCGGAUUAGAUACCCGGGUAGUCCUAGCUGUAAACGAUGCUCGCUAGGUGUGGCACAGGCUACGAGCCUGUGCUGUGCCGUAGGGAAGCCGAGAAGCGAGCCGCCUGGGAAGUACGUCCG
This 484-nucleotide ribosomal RNA is filed under the name Haloferax sp. SSIN6. RNAcentral's name for it is "bacterial SSU rRNA". It matches the Rfam family "Archaeal small subunit ribosomal RNA", at positions 360 to 843 of the family's 1478-position model. The record is from RNAcentral. Lineage: Archaea; Methanobacteriati; Methanobacteriota; Halobacteria; Halobacteriales; Haloferacaceae.